UACGUAGGGUGCAAGCGUUGUCCGGAAUUAUUGGGCGUAAAGAGCUCGUAGGCGGCCUGUCGCGUCUGCUGUGAAAUCCCGGGGCUUAACCCCGGGCGUGCAGUGGAUACGGGCUGGCUGGAGGCAGGCAGGGGAGAACGGAAUUCCCGGUGUAGCGGUGAAAUGCGCAGAUAUCGGGAGGAACACCGGUGGCGAAGGCGGUUCUCUGGGCCUGUUCUGACGCUGAGGAGCGAAAGCGUGGGGAGCGAACAGG
Molecule: ribosomal RNA, 253 nt
Filed under: uncultured bacterium
Lineage: Bacteria
Description: partial 16S ribosomal RNA
Rfam family: Bacterial small subunit ribosomal RNA
Source: RNAcentral